GGUGGAUCAGUGGUAGAGCACUUGCCUUGCAUGCAUGAAGCCCUGAGUUCGAUUCCUCAGCACCA
RNAcentral lists this transfer RNA (65 nucleotides) under Dipodomys ordii (Ord's kangaroo rat). It matches the Rfam family "tRNA". Rfam says of the family: Transfer RNA (tRNA) molecules are approximately 80 nucleotides in length. Lineage: Eukaryota; Metazoa; Chordata; Mammalia; Rodentia; Heteromyidae. The record is from Rfam by way of RNAcentral.